Molecule: ribosomal RNA, 253 nt
Filed under: uncultured bacterium
Lineage: Bacteria
Description: partial 16S ribosomal RNA
Rfam family: Bacterial small subunit ribosomal RNA
Source: RNAcentral
UACGGAGGGUGCAAGCGUUAUCCGGAUUUACUGGGUUUAAAGGGUGCGUAGGUGGGUCUGUAAGUCAGUGGUGAAAUCUCCGGGCUUAACCCGGAAAUUGCCAUUGAUACUAUAGGUCUCGAAUCAUCUGGAGGUAAGCGGAAUAUGUCAUGUAGCGGUGAAAUGCUUAGAUAUGACAUAGAACACCAAUUGCGAAGGCAGCUUACUACGGAUGUAUUGACACUGAGGCACGAAAGCGUGGGGAUCAAACAGG